GAAUAAGCAUCGGCUAACUCCGUGCCAGCAGCCGCGGUAAUACGGAGGAUGCGAGCGUUAUCCGGAUUUAUUGGGUUUAAAGGGUGCGUAGGCUGUUUCAUAAGUUAGUGGUUAAAAUUCCGGGCUUCACCCGGUCUUGCCAUUAAAACUGUGAGACUAGAGUAUAUUUGAGGUAGGCGGAAUAAGUUAAGUAGCGGUGAAAUGCAUAGAUAUAACUUAGAACUCCGAUAGCGAAGGCAGCUUACCAAGCUAAAACUGACGCUGAAGCACGAAAGCGUGGGUAUCGAACAGGAUUAGAUACCCUGGUAGUCCACGCUGUAAACGAUGCUUACCCGCUUUCGGCGAUAUGACCGUCGGAGGCCGAUAGAAAUAUUUAAGUAAGACACCUGGGGAGUACGCCGGCAACGAUGAAACUCAAAGGAAUUGACGGGGGCCCGCACAAGCGGAGGAACAUGUGGUUUAAUUCGAUGAUACGCGAGGAACCUUACCUGGGUUUAAAUGUAUGUUGCAUGAGGUGGAAACACUUCUUUCCUUCGGGACUAUAUACAAGGUGCUGCAUGGUUGUCGUCAGCUCGUGCCGUGAGGUGUCGGGUUAAGUCCCAUAACGAGCGCAACCCCUAUCUAUAGUUGCCAUCAGGUUAAGCUGGGGACUCUGUAGAGACUGCCACCGUAAGGUGAGAGGAAGGGGGGGAUGACGUCAAAUCAGCACGGCCCUUACAUCCAGGGCUACACACGUGUUACAAUGGCCAUUACAGAGGGUCGCUCCAUAGUGAUAUGCUGCAAAUCUCAAAAAGUGGUCGUAGUUCGGAUUGGAGUCUGUAACCCGACUCCAUGAAGUUGGAUUCGCUAGUAAUCGCGCAUCAGCCAUGGCGCGGUGAAUACGUUCCCGGGCC
Molecule: ribosomal RNA, 893 nt
Filed under: termite gut metagenome
Description: bacterial SSU rRNA
Rfam family: Bacterial small subunit ribosomal RNA
Source: RNAcentral